Molecule: ribosomal RNA, 554 nt
Filed under: uncultured Lachnospiraceae bacterium
Lineage: Bacteria; Bacillati; Bacillota; Clostridia; Lachnospirales; Lachnospiraceae
Description: bacterial SSU rRNA
Rfam family: Bacterial small subunit ribosomal RNA
Source: RNAcentral
GGUAACCUGCCUUAUACAGGGGGAUAACAGUCAGAAAUGACUGCUAAUACCGCAUAAGCGCACAGAGCUGCAUGGCUCGGUGUGAAAAACUCCGGUGGUAUAAGAUGGACCCGCGUUGGAUUAGCUAGUUGGUGAGAUAACGGCCCACCAAGGCGACGAUCCAUAGCCGGCCUGAGAGGGUGAACGGCCACAUUGGGACUGAGACACGGCCCAGACUCCUACGGGAGGCAGCAGUGGGGAAUAUUGCACAAUGGGGGAAACCCUGAUGCAGCGACGCCGCGUGAAGGAAGAAGUAUCUCGGUAUGUAAACUUCUAUCAGCAGGGAAGAAUUAGGACGGUACCUGACUAAGAAGCCCCGGCUAACUACGUGCCAGCAGCCGCGGUAAUACGUAGGGGGCAAGCGUUAUCCGGAUUUACUGGGUGUAAAGGGAGCGUAGACGGAUGGACAAGUCUGAUGUGAAAGGCUGGGGCUCAACCCCGGGACUGCAUUGGAAACUGCCCGUCUUGAGUGCCGGAGAGGUAAGCGGAAUUCCUAGUGUAGCGGUGAAAUGCGU